RNAcentral lists this ribosomal RNA (492 nucleotides) under uncultured bacterium. RNAcentral's name for it is "partial 16S ribosomal RNA". It matches the Rfam family "Bacterial small subunit ribosomal RNA", at positions 29 to 507 of the family's 1533-position model. The record is from RNAcentral.
AGUGAACGCUGGCGGUAGGCCUAACACAUGCAGGUCGAACGGCAGCACAGUAAGAGCUUGCUCUUACGGGUGGCGAGUGGCGGACGGGUGAGGAAUACAUCGGAAUCUACUUUUUCGUGGGGGAUAACGUAGGGAAACUUACGCUAAUACCGCAUACGACCUACGGGUGAAAGCAGGGGAUCUUCGGACCUUGCGCGAUUGAAUGAGCCGAUGUCGGAUUAGCUAGUUGGCGGGGUAAAGGCCCACCAAGGCGACGAUCCGUAGCUGGUCUGAGAAGAUGAUCAGCCACACUGGAACUGGGACACGGUCCAGACUCCUACGGGAAGCAGCAGUGAGGAAUAUUGGACAAUGGGCGCAAGCCUGAUCCAGCCAUACCGCGUGGGUGAAGAAGGCCUUCGGGUUGUAAAGCCCUUUUGUUGGGAAAGAAAAGCAGCAGGUUAAUACCCCGCUGUUCUGACGGUACCCAAAGAAUAAACACCGGCUAACUUCGUG